UUUGCAGUGAAAUGUUGACUUUUAUAUUAAAUGAGCACUGAACAGAAUGGAUUCUAGUCAAGAAGCCUUUGCCAAAGCAUGGUAACAAGCUCCCCUGGGGAGGUGCAGUCAGCCUGCUACAGUGGUCCUGGAGGGGAAGACCACAGGCAAGCCCCCACUCACUGUUCCCAUACAAACUGCUCAGAGUCAGGAGCUGGCCAUGCUCCCUUUCCUACUUCUCGUUUCUUCAUCACUGUAAUAAAUAUAAAACUGGCAAUAUUCACACACCUUAGCACAGACAGGUUUCAGGCAGAGUUAAGUGGUCGGGUUGAAAAUGCAAACAGAAAUUGGGACUUUUUUUAACAGUGAGUUAGAAUUCUGAAGAACAAGGCAUGAGCUGCCAAGACUUACUUACUGGGAGAAGGUUUGGACAGAAACAUCAGGAUUGGACAGAAGUCCUCAACAGUCCUAGCAGACCUGACAUGGUGGCAGUGCGCUGCCAAUGGUAAUCUAAAGUGCCAGGGCACCCAAGCCACCUGCAACACACCAUCCAUUUGGCAGGGCGUCUCCAACCCGCCACAGUAGAGACAUGGCUCUAGUACUGAACUCGGAAGGUAGCAGCAGCAGGACUGAGUUCAAGGUCACCCUCGGCCACAUGCUAAGCCAGACUGUACUACACUGAGACCCUGUCUCAAAAGAAAAAUGUCGGGAAAGGAGCCUAACAAGUCAAGCAUAGUGGAAUGGGCCGGUAUCUCCACUACUGGGGAGACAAAACAGGAGGAUCACCAGGAGUUCAAAGGCAGUCAGGGUACACACAUAUAGACUCUGCUAAGAAAACCACCCACCUACAAAAAAAAAAAAAAAAAA
Molecule: long non-coding RNA, 846 nt
Filed under: Rattus norvegicus (Norway rat)
Lineage: Eukaryota; Metazoa; Chordata; Mammalia; Rodentia; Muridae
Description: long non-coding RNA NONRATT027653
Source: RNAcentral